CAGCCGCCGCGGUAAGACAGAGGUCCCGAGCGUUGUUCGGAUUCAUUGGGCGUAAAGGGUGUGUAGGAGGUUGGGUAAGUCAGGUGUGAAAUCUCUCAGCUUAACUGAGAAACUGCGCUUGAUACUGCUCAGCUAGAGGAUCGGAGGGGGUAACGGAAUUUAUGGUGUAGCAGUGAAAUGCGUAGAUAUCAUAAGGAACACCGGUGGCGAAGGCGGUUACCUGGAAGAUUCCUGACUCUGAAACACGAAAGCCAGGGGAGCAAACGGGAUUAGAUACCCGCGUAGUCCCUGUCUCUUAUAC
This 301-nucleotide ribosomal RNA is filed under the name uncultured bacterium. Its description in RNAcentral is "partial 16S ribosomal RNA". It matches the Rfam family "Bacterial small subunit ribosomal RNA", at positions 509 to 807 of the family's 1533-position model. The record is from RNAcentral.